UGUGCUUUGGCCGCCCUGAGCGGGGGGAAGUGUCGUCCCUCAUGGCCCGCUGGGGCUCUCCCGGGACACGGUCCCGCUCUGAGGGGACUUUCGGGAGCCCCCCCCAGCUCUGCGGUGUGCUCCUGCCCUCCCUCAGCGAGGCCACGCCGAUGGCUUGCUGUGGGCCUGCAAUAUAAACUGCAUCUGGAUCUGGCUGUUCCGCGGGUAAAAUCCCCCCUGUAGAUCCCAUGGCCUAUCUUGAUGGCCGGAAUUGCAGAGGUGCGUGCUGGGAAGACGUCUGAGAGGAGAAAAAGGUGUUCUUUAGCGUAUAAUAUCAGAAAAAGUAUUGCAUUCUGGAUGUCAAUGGUGUCAGACACAUCUUUGAAUUUCUCUAGCCUAAGUAUGAGGCAAGAAGUGCCUUUACAUAGCUGGAAUAUAUGAAUAUACAUUGUUUUGUCUCUCCUACCAUCUGGCCUCUUCACUUGUUUUACCCAGUGAAGCCCCAGUCUUCUGCUGGGACUUUUUGACACUGGCAACAUAUAAAUAAUAAUAACCAUGAUAUUUGGGAAACUUUAUCUUUUCUUUUUCCCCCUUCCAAGACCUUCAUCUGCAUGGCUCAAGGAAGGAUAGCCUUUUUGUACUGAAGUGACACCGAAGCCUUCCACUUCCCUUGCAAGAAAUUUGUCCUGAAGUGUUUACAUAAUGAUGACAACGGAUUAUUGCAGCCCGUGUCAACUGACGCAUUUCAUGUCUCUGAAUCGAUGCAAACAUUGUGUUCGUUGCAUCAACAGAACUGCUCACAUGUCCUUGAUACAUUUUCAAGCAAUUUUUAUUUGGAUGUAAAAUGUCUGUCAGCCAACAUUUCAGCAGUAUCUAUCUGUCUUCCUGGGGGCUUAAGAUAUUGCUGAAGCAUUGGCUGAUAGUCACUUUACUACCAAAUAAAAACUGCUUGAAAAUAUAUCAAGGACAUAGGAGCUGUUCUCUUGAGGGAUGUGACGUGAUGUUUGUGCCCGUUUUUAUAGAUGUUAAACCAGUUUCUAUGAGGGGGCACUAUUAAGAAUUCAACAUCCUGGUAACUGUAUGUUUUGAAGGGAAUAAAUGGACUGUGCAUCU
Aptenodytes forsteri (emperor penguin) is the source of this 1092-nucleotide long non-coding RNA. RefSeq lists it as uncharacterized. NCBI's taxonomy places the organism in Eukaryota, Metazoa, Chordata, Aves, Sphenisciformes, Spheniscidae. The record is from RefSeq and is a predicted model, not a curated record. The transcript is spliced from 2 exons.